RNAcentral lists this small nuclear RNA (312 nucleotides) under Aotus nancymaae (Ma's night monkey). RNAcentral's name for it is "7SK RNA (ENSANAG00000000809.1)". It matches the Rfam family "7SK RNA". Rfam says of the family: 7SK was discovered as an abundant small nuclear RNA in the mid-70s but a possible function has only recently been suggested. The record is from Rfam by way of RNAcentral. Lineage: Eukaryota; Metazoa; Chordata; Mammalia; Primates; Aotidae.
UGAUUGGGGCAUCUGGCUGCGCCAUCUGUCACCCCAUUGAUUGCCAGGGUUGAUUUGGCUGAUCUGGCUAGCCAGGUGGGUAUACCCUUCCUCCCUCACUGCUCCAUGAGGAAGCUGUGAGGGAGGAAGGGUAACUGCAUGCUUGGUUGAAGAGGACGACCAUCCCUGAUAGAGGAGGACUGGUCUUCGGUCAAGGGUACACGAGCAGCUGCACUCCCCUGCUAGAACCUCCAAACAGCUCUCAAGGGCAACAAAAUAUUUUUAAAUUAAGUCAUGUACAUUGUUUUUUAGAUAUAAUGCUACUGCAUGUUU